GCUGGGCGUGGUGGUGCACGCCUGUAAUCCCAGCUACUUGGGAGGCUGAGGCACAAGAAUCACUUGAACCCAGGAGGCAGAGGUUGUAGUGAGCCAGGAUCACACCACUGCAUUCCAGCCUGGGUGACAGAGCGAGACUCUGUCUCCA
This is an unclassified non-coding RNA of Pongo abelii (Sumatran orangutan), 148 nucleotides long. It matches the Rfam family "Metazoan signal recognition particle RNA". From Rfam's summary of the family: The signal recognition particle (SRP) is a universally conserved ribonucleoprotein. The record is from Ensembl. Lineage: Eukaryota; Metazoa; Chordata; Mammalia; Primates; Hominidae.